RNAcentral lists this ribosomal RNA (492 nucleotides) under uncultured bacterium. Its description in RNAcentral is "partial 16S ribosomal RNA". It matches the Rfam family "Bacterial small subunit ribosomal RNA", at positions 29 to 507 of the family's 1533-position model. The record is from RNAcentral.
AGUGAACGCUGGCGGUAGGCCUAACACAUGCAAGUCGAACGGCAGCACAGUGAGAGCUUGCUCUUACGGGUGGCGAGUGGCGGACGGGUGAGGAAUACAUCGGAAUCUACUUUUUCGUGGGGGAUAACGUAGGGAAACUUACGCUAAUACCGCAUACGACCUACGGGUGAAAGCAGGGGAUCUUCGGACCUUGCGCGAUUGAAUGAGCCGAUGUCGGAUUAGCUAGUUGGCGGGGUAAAGGCCCACCAAGGCGACGAUCCGUAGCUGGUCUGAGAGGAUGAUCAGCCACACUGGAACUGAGACACGGUCCAGACUCCUACGGGAGGCAGCAGUGGGGAAUAUUGGACAAAGGGCGCAAGCCUGAUCCAGCCAUACCGCGUGGGUGAAGAAGGCCUUCGGGUUGUAAAGCCCUUUUGUUGGGAAAGAAAAGCAGCAGGUUAAUACCCCGCUGUUCUGACGGUACCCAAAGAAUAAGCACCGGCUAACUUCGUG